GUAAGUAAAAGUCGUAACAAGGUUUCCGUAGGUGAACCUGCGGAAGGAUCAUUAUUGUAUAACCGAGGUGGGAGGGCUGUCGCUGACCCGAAAGGUCGUGCACGCCCGAGUGCCCUCACACACAUCCAUCUCACCCCUAUGUGCACCACCGCGUGGGUCCCCCUUUGGCUUGUUCGGAGGGGGGCUUACGUUUUCACACAAACUUUGUAUGCAGUGCAGAAUGUAUUUUUUGUUUUUGCGAUCACGCAAUCAAUACAACUUUCAACAACGGAUCUCUUGGCUCUC
This 285-nucleotide unclassified non-coding RNA is filed under the name plant metagenome. Its description in RNAcentral is "partial contains small subunit ribosomal RNA, internal transcribed spacer 1, and 5.8S ribosomal RNA". The stretch from base 1 to 54 matches the Rfam family "Eukaryotic small subunit ribosomal RNA", at positions 1778 to 1831 of the family's 1831-position model. The record is from RNAcentral.